CAGGCCUAACACAUGCAAGUCGAGGGGCAGCAUGGAGUCAGCUUGCUGACUUUGAUGGCGACCGGCGCACGGGUGCGUAACACGUAUCCAAUCUACCCAUGGCUCGGGAAUAGCCUUUCGAAAGAAAGAUUAAUGCCCGAUGGUCUUACGGAGGGACAUCUCUCUGUAAGUAAAGAUUUAUCGGCGAUGGAUGAGGAUGCGCCCGAUUAGGUAGUAGGCGGGGUAACGGCCCACCUAGCCGACGAUCGGUAGGGGUUCUGAGAGGAAGGUCCCCCACAUUGGAACUGAGACACGGUCCAAACUCCUACGGGAGGCAGCAGUGAGGAAUAUUGGUCAAUGGCCGAGAGACUGAACCAGCCAAGUAGCGUGAAGGAUGACUGCCCUACGGGUUGUAAACUUCUUUUGUUUGGGAAUAAAGUGAGUCACGUGUGACUUUUUGUAUGUACCAUACGAAUAAGCAUCGGCUAAUUCCGUGCCAGCAGCCGCGGUAAUACGGAAGAUGCGAGCGUUAUCCGGAUUUAUUGGGUUUAAAGGGAGCGUAGGCGGCCCGUUAAGUCAGCGGUCAAAUGUCAGUGCCCAACAUUGGCAAGCCGUUGAUACUGGUGGGCUUGAAUACACACAAGGAAGGUGGAAUUCGUCGUGUAGCGGUGAAAUGCUUAGAUAUGACGAAGAACUCCGAUUGCGAAGGCAGCUUUCUGGGGUGCGAUUGACGCUGAGGCUCGAAAGUGCGGGAAUCAAACAGGAUUAGAUACCCUGGUAGUCCGCACCGUAAACGAUGAAUGCUCGUUCUGGGCGAUACACAGUCCGGGACCUAGGGAAACCAUUAAGCAUUCCACCUGGGGAGUACGCCGGCAACGGUGAAACUCAAAGGAAUUGACGGGGACCCGCACAAGCGGUGGAGCAUGUGGUUUAAUUCGAAGCAACGCGAAGAACCUUACCAGAUCUUGAGAUCCAGAUGAAUACAUGGUAAUGCAUGUAGCUCUUCGGAGCAUCUGAGACAGGUGGUGCAUGGUUGUCGUCAGCUCGUGUCGUGAGAUGUUGGGUUAAGUCCCGCAACGAGCGCAACCCUUGUCCAUAGUAGCCAGCAGUAAGAUGGGCACUCUAUGGAGACUGCCAGGGAUAACCUGGAGGAAGGUGGGGAUGACGUCAAAUCAUCAUGCCCCUUAUGAUCUGGGCCACACACGUGCUACAAUGUCGUAACAAAGGGACGCGACCCCGCGAGGGUGAGCAAAUCUCAAAAAUAACGACCCAGUUCGGACUGUAGGCUGCAACCCGCCUGCACGAAGCUGGAAUCGCUAGUAAUCGCAGAUCAGCAUGCUSCSGUKKWASGUUCCCGG
This 1337-nucleotide ribosomal RNA is filed under the name uncultured rumen bacterium. Its description in RNAcentral is "bacterial SSU rRNA". It matches the Rfam family "Bacterial small subunit ribosomal RNA", at positions 43 to 1377 of the family's 1533-position model. The record is from RNAcentral.